This 75-nucleotide transfer RNA is filed under the name Alphaproteobacteria bacterium. RNAcentral's name for it is "tRNA-Glu". It matches the Rfam family "tRNA". Rfam says of the family: Transfer RNA (tRNA) molecules are approximately 80 nucleotides in length. Lineage: Bacteria; Pseudomonadati; Pseudomonadota; Alphaproteobacteria. The record is from RNAcentral.
GGCCCCUUCGUCUAGCGGUUAGGACGUCAGCCUCUCACGUUGAAAACAGGGGUUCGAUUCCCCUAGGGGUCACCA